UGCCAUCGGAUGUGCCCAGAUGGGAUUAGCUAGUAGGUGGGGUAACGGCUCACCUAGGCGACGAUCCCUAGCUGGUCUGAGAGGAUGACCAGCCACACUGGAACUGAGACACGGUCCAGACUCCUACGGGAGGCAGCAGUGGGGAAUAUUGCACAAUGGGCGCAAGCCUGAUGCAGCCAUGCCGCGUGUAUGAAGGAGGCCUUCGGGUUGUAAAGUACUUUCAGCGGGGAGGAAGGGAGUAAAGUUAAUACCUUUGCUCAUUGACGUUACCCGCAGAAGAAGCACCGGCUAACUCCGUGCCAGCAGCCGCGGUAAUACGGAGGGUGCAAGCGUUAAUCGGAAUUACUGGGCGUAAAGCGCACGCAGGCGGUUUGUUAAGUCAGAUGUGAAAUCCCCGGGCUCAACCUGGGAACUGCAUCUGAUACUGGCAAGCUUGAGUCUCGUAGAGGGGGGUAGAAUUCCAGGUGUAGCGGUGAAAUGCGUAGAGAUCUGGAGGAAUACCGGUGGCGAAGGCGGCCCCCUGGACGAAGACUGACGCCCAGGUGCGAAAGCGUGGGGAGCAAACAGGAUUAAAUACCCUGGUAGUCCACGCCGUAAACGAUGUCUACUUGGAGGUUGUGCCCUUGAGGCGUGGCUUCCGGAGCUAACGCGUUAAGUCGACCGCCUGGGGAGUACGGCCGCAAGGUUAAAACUCAAAUGAAUUGACGGGGGCCCGCACAAGCGGUGGAGCAUGUGGUUUAAUUCGAUGCAACGCGAAGAACCUUACCUGGUCUUGACAUCCACGGAAGUUUUCAGAGAUGAGAAUGUGCCUUCGGGAACCGUGAGACAGGUGCUGCAUGGCUGUCGUCAGCUCGUGUUGUGAAAUGUUGGGUUAAGUCCCGCAACGAGCGCAACCCUUAUCCUUUGUUGCCAGCGGUCCGGCCGGGAACUCAAAGGAGACUGCCAGUGAUAAACUGGAGGAAGGUGGGGAUGACGUCAAGUCAUCAUGGCCCUUACGACCAGGGCUACACACGUGCUACAAUGGCGCAUACAAAGAGAAGCGACCUCGCGAGAGCAAGCGGACCUCAUAAAGUGCGUCGUAGUCCGGAUUGGAGUCUGCAACUCGACUCCAUGAAAGUCGGAAUCGCUAGUAAUCGUGGAUCAGAAUGCCACGGUGAAUACGUUCCCGGGCCU
This 1173-nucleotide ribosomal RNA is filed under the name uncultured Escherichia sp. RNAcentral describes it as "bacterial SSU rRNA". It matches the Rfam family "Bacterial small subunit ribosomal RNA", at positions 216 to 1381 of the family's 1533-position model. The record is from RNAcentral. Lineage: Bacteria; Pseudomonadati; Pseudomonadota; Gammaproteobacteria; Enterobacterales; Enterobacteriaceae.